RNAcentral lists this ribosomal RNA (492 nucleotides) under Triticum aestivum (bread wheat). RNAcentral's name for it is "partial small subunit ribosomal RNA". The record is from RNAcentral. Lineage: Eukaryota; Viridiplantae; Streptophyta; Magnoliopsida; Poales; Poaceae.
AUGGCCUACGGAGAACCUGGGCUAGUGGCAAGGAUCAAUCCCCGUCUUCUUCCGAACCUCUCCCAUUUAGAACUAUUUGUAUGCACCUCGGAACUGGAGGUCUUUGGAAAUUUCCGAGAGCUUGUUACCCUGAAGUUGUGCUCGUGGUCAGCUCUCCACCAUGACACCAUGGGUGGUGCAGGUGCUUUCCCCAAGCUAAGGGUAUUCAAGACAGAAGCAACGAUUGGCUCAUUUUUAAAGGGAGAUAUGCCGAUCCUUGAAUCUCUCCAGUUUCGCGUUGUAGCCCAAUCCAAUGGUGAUGGCGUUAGCUUUGACUUUGACUUUGCUAGCCUAGGGAACCUCCCUUUGCUUCAGUUUGUCAAAGUCUUUUUACUUGCCCAUCCUGCGGACCACAAGAAGGCUGAGGAAACGGUGAGGCGUGCAAUUGAUAUGCUUCCCAACCGUCCCAGCCAUCGUAUCCAUUCAUAUGAUAUAAUAAUAAAUAGGAGCUAA